CCUACGGGAGGCAGCAGUGGGGAAUAUUGGACAAUGGGCGCAAGCCUGAUCCAGCCAUGCCGCGUGAGUGAUGAAGGCCUUAGGGUUGUAAAGCUCUUUUGUACGGGAAGAUAAUGACGGUACCGUAAGAAUAAGCCCCGGCUAACUUCGUGCCAGCAGCCGCGGUAAUACGAAGGGGGCUAGCGUUGCUCGGAAUCACUGGGCGUAAAGGGUGCGUAGGCGGGUUUUUAAGUCAGAGGUGAAAUCCUGGAGCUCAACUCCAGAACUGCCUUUGAUACUGAAAGUCUUGAGUAUGGGAGAGGUGAGUGGAACUGCGAGUGUAGAGGUGAAAUUCGUAGAUAUUCGCAAGAACACCAGUGGCGAAGGCGGCUCACUGGCCCAUUACUGACGCUGAGGCACGAAAGCGUGGGGAGCAAACAGGAUUAGAUACCCUGGUAGUCCACGCCGUAAACGAUGAAUGCCAGCCGUUAGUGGGUUUACUCACUAGUGGCGCNGCUACGUACUUAGUACUACUCCGUCCGUCGGGUAGGUACGGUCGCGAGAAGUAAACGUAACGAAGAAGUAAGUACGCGUUGAGUAGUUGCGACGACGACGACGAGGGAGGAGG
This 607-nucleotide ribosomal RNA is filed under the name uncultured bacterium. RNAcentral's name for it is "bacterial SSU rRNA". The stretch from base 1 to 516 matches the Rfam family "Bacterial small subunit ribosomal RNA", at positions 338 to 873 of the family's 1533-position model. The record is from RNAcentral.